RNAcentral lists this signal recognition particle RNA (424 nucleotides) under Chlorocebus sabaeus (green monkey). RNAcentral's name for it is "Metazoan signal recognition particle RNA". The stretch from base 151 to 424 matches the Rfam family "Metazoan signal recognition particle RNA". From Rfam's summary of the family: The signal recognition particle (SRP) is a universally conserved ribonucleoprotein. It is involved in the co-translational targeting of proteins to membranes. The record is from Rfam by way of RNAcentral. Lineage: Eukaryota; Metazoa; Chordata; Mammalia; Primates; Cercopithecidae.
AGGUGCGGUGGUGGGUGCCUGUAAUCCCAGCUACUUGGGGGACUGAGGCAGGAGAAUUGCUUGAACUCGGGAGGCGGAGGUUGCAGUGAGCCGAGAUCAUGCCAUUGUACUCCAGCCUGAGUACAGAGUGAGUCUCUGUCUCAAAAUAAAAAUAAAAAUAAAAAUAAUUUUUUUAAACAUUGAGGUGGGAGUAUCACUUGAGCCUAUGGAUUCUGGUUCACAGUGUGCUAUGCCAAUUAGGUGUUCCCACUAACUGAGUGUUCAGCAUCAAUAUGGUGACCUCCCAGGAGUGGGAGACUACCAGAUUGCCUAAGGAGGGGUGAACCGGAGCAGGCCAAAACUCCUGUGAUGACCAGUAGUGAGAUGUGGCCUGUGAAUAGCUACUGCACUCCAGCCUGGACAACAUAGCAAGAUCCUAUCUCUU